GCUGCUGCUCGGGACCGGGCGGGCGGGACGGUGCUACGCCAAAGGCCGGAGGCCUGAGGUCCUUUUGGGAAAUGCAAGGAGACCGGUGUGGCCAAUAUAACCGAAGGCAAGGCUGAGUUUUCCAGGCGUUCUCGUCCGCGCACAGUGACUUGGUGGGACGGGCAGGGCCUGGCUGCGGGCUGCGCGCGGGCAUUUUAAAGUUAUAUUAGGGAUCUUUCUUGGUGUCAGAGUCGCCCAAAGGAAAUGGUUCUGGGGACGAUACCUCCACCUUCCAACUGAUCCGUUAUAGUUUUGCUACAAUGCUUGUCAGGCUGCAAGACCCGUGAGCUGGGGUGCUUGUCCCUAAACCACCCCAGGGAGCGGAAUCAGAAUACCUGAAGAUGAAGGAGGUGCAAAUAGUGGUUAAGACCGGCUCUGGAGUGAGAUGGGUAGUCGCGUCCUGACUCCACCUCCUGGCCUUCUGACCUGCUUGAGCCAGUGACACUGAUUCUGUUGAGGGAAGCAGUAUGCCCAGCUCCAGGAGGUGAAUCGGAUUGCUUUAAGUCAAUCAGAGGAAUCUCAACUUGAAUUUCCAGAGUUCCUUCCAGCCAGAGUGGCCAUGUUGCCCAGUUCUGGUUAGAGAGGAGAAACCUGCUGGUAAGGUUUCUGGGAAUAAUUUUGUUUGCUGCUGAAAGAGCCCAGCAUGCAGAGGGAGGUGCUCUUUCAGCCAUUCCCUAUCUUUUAUUCUUAGGAAGCUGGGCUGAGAAUGUAAUUCCUAGCACUGAGGCAGCUGUCUUGCACCUAUGAAGUAGCAAGCUUGAGGACAAGAAAGCACGCUGAGAGAGGCAGAGCGGAGAAAACAAAGCUCAGUUUCUGGAUGAAAUUGUUGAGCCACUGCAUGAAGUCUGAAACAUUAUCUGCAGGCUUAUUGCUAUGAAGCAUAUUGCUCUGCUCAAUCUACCAUCUAGUUUCUGUUCAGUGCAUCCUGGAUGAUAAGUUCAACAAGUAGAACUGGAACCCAGCAACCUGGGGCAUCAAAGCGGAGGACAGAUGAUAUGAAGAGACAACUGAAAUCAUUUCAGAUAUCUGAAAGGCAUGUCAUGUUUAACAAAAAUAAAAACAAUUUGAAUAUGG
Long non-coding RNA from Manis pentadactyla (Chinese pangolin), 1113 nucleotides. RefSeq lists it as uncharacterized. The transcript is spliced from 2 exons. The record is from RefSeq and is a predicted model, not a curated record. Lineage: Eukaryota; Metazoa; Chordata; Mammalia; Pholidota; Manidae.